RNAcentral lists this ribosomal RNA (460 nucleotides) under uncultured bacterium. Its description in RNAcentral is "partial 16S ribosomal RNA". It matches the Rfam family "Bacterial small subunit ribosomal RNA", at positions 338 to 795 of the family's 1533-position model. The record is from RNAcentral.
CCUACGGGUGGCAGCAGUGAGGAAUAUUGGUCAAUGGACGAGAGUCUGAACCAGCCAAGUAGCGUGAAGGAUGACUGCCCUAUGGGUUGUAAACUUCUUUUAUAAAGGAAUAAAACGAGGCACGUGUGCCUUUUUGCAUGUACUUUAUGAAUAAGGAUCGGCUAACUCCGUGCCAGCAGCCGCGGUAAUACGGAGGAUCCGAGCGUUAUCCGGAUUUAUUGGGUUUAAAGGGAGCGUAGAUGGGUUGUUAAGUCAGUUGUGAAAGUUUGCGGUUCAACCGUAAAAUUGCAAUUGAUACUGGCAGUCGUGAGUACAGUUGAGGUAGGCGGAAUUCGUGGUGUAGCGGUGAAAUGCUUAGAUAUCACGAAGAACCCCGAUUGCGAAGGCAGCUUACUAAACUGUGACUGACAUUGAUGCUCGAAAGUGUGGGUAUCAAACAGGAUUAGAUACCCGGGUAGUC